AUGACAGAAGCUGCCCUCAGCCACUGGGUGGUCUGCAGUUCCUCACACCUGCCCAGGUGGGUGCCUUUGCUGAGCCCCUUGUGCAGCACUGGUGUGGGGGUGUGCCUCUGCCAGGCUUCAGGCCUGGAUGCUUUGGGGCCCAGCUCCAGCACUCCAGGGGAGGACCUCAGGCUAGAGCUGGUUUCUAUCCCUAAUUUACCUAGAUCUGGGCCAGGCCUGGGUGGUGAGCUCACCUGCAACAAUGACUGUCCCAGAGAGUGGGGGCCACAUUGGCCCUCCUCUCCGAAGACAAUUUCCCGCCACCCAUGCUGGGGGCACUUAGGAUGGGAGAGGGCCCCUCUUCACCUCCUCACCCUACAGGACAGGGCCUGGAUCCUCCCUUGUGUGGCUUCCGGAAAGUUUGUGAGUUGGGCAAAAGGUUGUGGCCACGAUCUGUCCAACGGUAUACCAUCAGGCCGGAACGCUCUCCCGAAGGCUUUUAUUGCCAGAGUGGAAGGGUCACUCAGAGGCACUUUUUGCUUUGUUUUUCUGUAUUUGUCAAGAGCAGCGGCUCCCAGGUGCCCAGGUUUAGGGCCUAACCCACCAUGUCGGACACCUUGCUGUGCCUGUCUGGGUGUGUGGGGCGGCAGGAGGGGCAGCUCCCUGGAGGGCUGUGUGAGUGGGUUUUCCAGACUCCCUGCCCUCCCCCAGCACUCCAUUUGCUUAUUCAAUCCAGGCCAUUAUCCUGGUCUCUGCCCUGCCUCAGGCGGGUGGAAAUGCGAUCCGGCUCCAUUGAUCGCUGAUGGAGCCCGACUGCAGCAGCCACAGCUGGGUGGGGAGGAGGACAGGACCCUCCACAGACAAACUGGAGGAGGGUGGGAGUGGAUUCCUCACCAAGUCUCAGGCUUGGGGGCUCCAUGGGACCAAGACAGCCCAGUGCUGCUGGCAUCCCACAGCAGGCCCGUCCACCCUCAGAGAGGCUUCCAGUGUCCAGCCUCUGCACAGAGGCCAAACCUCCCCACCAGGCCUCUCCUUUCAGAGCAGAGGUAUCCUCCCCAACACCCAAGUCCAGGCUGCCAGUCCAGUGUGGGUGCCGCUGAGGUCCUGGACUUGGCCCUGGGGAUGGCCUGGAUCUGUUUGCAUCUCAAGCCAUCAUCCCAUCUCAUGCCACCCCAAAGGGCAGGGAGGGUGGAAAGGGUGGUGGCAUUGUUAUCUCAGGGGCCCUGCCCUAAGUCAGCUACUCCCCCAGCUAGAGCUUAUUUGGAAAAUGAGCCUGCUUCUGGUGGGAUCGUAUUGCCCAGGAGGCUUGGGAGCAAAGAGUCCCUUCCAGGCUGCAGGGGAGGCAUGCAGGUGCGGGGUGGGGGGCAGGCAGCCUUCACCCUUGCUAAAGACUUGAGAUGCCUUCAAGGGGCUUCAGCACCCCUUGGGAAAGGACCUGGCCUCAUCAGGGGAUGUGGGAAUGCAGAAGUGUGCUGUCCUUAG
This 1461-nucleotide long non-coding RNA is filed under the name Callithrix jacchus (white-tufted-ear marmoset). Its description in RNAcentral is "lncRNA (ENSCJAG00000063661.2)". The record is from RNAcentral. Lineage: Eukaryota; Metazoa; Chordata; Mammalia; Primates; Cebidae.